This 6606-nucleotide long non-coding RNA is filed under the name Homo sapiens (human). Its description in RNAcentral is "long non-coding RNA NONHSAT118303.2". Lineage: Eukaryota; Metazoa; Chordata; Mammalia; Primates; Hominidae. The record is from RNAcentral.
CGGGGCGGCAAAACGUCCGCCCGGGCCCGAGGCGGGCGGAGGCAGCUGUGGUUACGUGCGGGGGGCCGGUGACGCAGUCGCGGGGCGCUGGGACGCGGCUUGCGGAGCCGGCCGGCGAGCGCAGGCCCCAGGCUCGGGCGCGGCGGCGGGACAGCACCUACCUUCCCGGCUUCGGGUCCGGGAGUGCGGGGCGCGGAGCCGCCGGAGCGCUGCCUCCCUCCUUCCUCCUCCCCUCGCCCCCGCCCCGCGGCGCGACACACAAUACUCGCCGGAAGCGGAAGCCGCGCCGAGGCUCGUGUCAGUGGAAGCUGGGGUGUCGGCGGGCGGCCGCGGCCGGGUCUAGCGGUGCCUGCGGAAGAAGGAGGAGGAGGGCUGGCGAUGAGAAGCAGCAGGGGGAAUCAAGGGCAAGAAGGGACCCAGAGGGGCAGGUGGCUGAGAUGCUGGCGUCCAGGUGACCCGAGGAAUCCUCUGGAGAUACAGGCCCGCGCAUGCGCGUGCUCGAGCGCUGAAGCCCAUUGCCCGCAGGGCGCUGGACUGGCGCCCCGGCCGGCGAGGCUGUCUAGUCCAGGCUCCAGGCCCCGGCUCUGGCCAGGCGCCGCCGCCUCCCGGUGCAGCUGAAAGUCGACGAAGAGGGCGGGGCGGGGGCGGCUUGUGGACUUCCACACUUUUCCUCUCUUCGGGCCAGUCUGGGGAGAGGGUGGCUAGCUGUGGCGGCGGCCAAUUACGUGGCGGACCUGCGGGGCUAAGCUGGCACGUCACUUCCGACUAGUGGAGUUUUUAGCCUUUUAACAUUCAAGGAUUAGAGCUCCCUCUUUGCCCACUAGCAGGGCAUUAGCUGGUGCUGAAGACAGUGGCUGCUUGGCGAGCCUGGAUCUCCAAGUGACCCCCUCAGCAACUCCUGAUGAACAGGACUGAAGCCAAUAUUAAAGCAAGUCAACCAAAGGUUCUCUGGUGUAGACAAGACAGCAAAAGGACAGACUACCUUGUGGAACCUAGCAUUGUUCUCCUUCUGCAGCACUAAGUAACAUUUGUUCUCCGUUAAGAUCUUUGCAAACCACACACAAGAAUUGCUGGUCAUCCUGCCAAUAGAUGCUGCUCACAGAACCAAAUUUCCUGUGCUGAAUUGUCACUCAUGGGCUUGAGAGUAGGAGACUGGAGACCAAGGUGGCUAGAAUCCAGUUGGGCCUGAUGUCUCCCUGUUGAAAGGGCUCCUUGUGGAAUGAAUAGCACAUGGCUCCUGUGGUGGAUCUGAUAGUGGCAUAGCACCAAGUGAUGCAGGCCUGCCAGGGGCCACAGACACAGAAGAUGCUCCCGGGGUCCCCCAUGUACUCCAGACACACUGCAGGCCACCUCUCCCAGCAGGUUGCCAGUCAUGGGCCCCAUCAUCAUGACUUCUGUCCAAGGUACUGUGUGCAGAAAUGUGAUUGAGAUUCAAGUCAGGGCCUCUCUGCCCUUUUCCCUCCAGAAACAAAACCAAGAUAAUUUAUCCUGAACACGGUGAAAAAAGGAAGGGAGGGAGGAGAAAAAGUCCGGGUCUCACCUGGGAUUCUCUGUCUCCUGCAACAUGAAGGAUUUAGCCUGGGAGGAGGUGGUGAGAACUCUGGGAGAGAAAAAAGAAGGAAAGAAUAGUUUUACCCAUGCUGAAGUUAAUUUAAACCUUCACCUAGAGAAGCAAAAAAAAAAAACCCACACUUUCCCAUUUUGUGCCUCCCUUCCUAGAGUUUUAGCCAAAGGUUUAGCUAAGUAAUUGGUUUUACCAGCGCACUCACUCCUCCUAUCCCAAGUCUGUUUGACUCCCUCCCCAUCAUCCUCCUCACCUCUUUUCAGGCAGGGUGGGGAUAGCAGCAGGAGGAGAUUUUGGGAGCCUGGCAACUCCUGCAAGGACCGCAGGACAGCCCCUCUGUGGGGAUGCGUGGUGCCCCAUCUGCCGCCCUUCUGAAGAAUGCACUGCCUUCACUUUUUACUGUGUUAGAGUCCAUCCAGACUGUUCUAUCCAAAAAAGUUUCUUUUUCCCCCACAGGCAAUCAGGAAAUGAUUCCUUUCCCGACUGCUUCUGUCUAGUGCCUGGGAAUCUUGAGUCAAUCCCUCAGUAAGUCAGUGACUAGGGAAAUCCCUCUCUGAGCCUCCCAGUUCAUGUUGCUUAGGGAACCUGAUAUUUUCGUGAAACCUGCCUACACAUGGGCAGCCCAACAGCAGAACAAAUGGUGGUGACCAAAGUGAACAAAGAAGUAUAGUUGUGCCAGCUUCGUAGUUGCCCAUGUGGACAAGUCAGCAGGAUCAGGACACGAGGAAGAGUAAAUGUGAGACAGUCAAUGUGACUUCUGCGAUAAACAGAUUUUUAAACCCCGAAAUUUUGCAAAAUUUUGGUGAAACCUGAACUUUCUUCGUUGCAUAUACUGGCACUAUCUGUACCAUCAUACAACUGUCUCACAUUAAAGCUAUUUUUCUUGGGCACUGAUGAGUAAGGUUGGUAUAAGUUCCUCAGAUCAACAAAAACCCAUUUUCCUGUAAGUCUUACAUUUAGUAUUUAAGGAACUAAAACUUAAAUACAUUUUGUGAAAUGGUUGACACUUCACUGAUAAUGAUUUAUUGCUUGGAUUAAUAAAUUUUCCAAAAGUUGUCUUAUGUAGAAUAUGGUUUGCAACCAGCAGAACCAUUAAUCUAUACUGCAAUGAUAUGCACUAUGUAUAAUUGUUUAAAAGCCUCUACUUAAUGAUGUAAAAUGCUCUAUUUAAUUACACAUUUGGGUAAACUGUAUACUAACAUCUGAUGGCAUUUUUCCACUGUUUGUUGCUUUUUUCAAAUACUUUAUUGUACAAAGCUGUUCUUAAUAUUUUUCAAGUUUUUUUCUUUGAAUUUUGCUAAUGUUUUCCUUGAAUUAUGAGCACUGACAGAAUGUGCUUAGCACUUUUGGCUAUUCACACAGCUUUUGAGCAUGAUUUGCAUCCAAUAUUUACAUUGCUAGCAAUAAUAAGCCAUCUGUGAGUUUUGUCAAAAGUUAUUGGGGAUUUUUUAAAUUUUAGAAAUGCAAAUUAUUGUUUCUUUGAACUAACUCUUAUGCAGUUGCAAAGGCAUUUCCAGUUGUUAUAGUUUGUGUACAAUAUCAGGUGUUCCAGAUUAUGAUUCAUUAUUAAUAUCAUUGCUUCCUUGUUCCCUCUGAGGUCCAGAAGAUUCAUGUUUACAAUAUUUAGAAACAAUGUUAAAAAGGUAUCCAAAGUUUGUCACUUUAUUAUUAGUUUGUUCUUAAUAUUCUGUUUAAGUUUUUGAAUUCAUAGAUAUCAAAACGCUGCACAAUUAUGAUUUCCACAGGAAUAACAACACACUAACAAUAAGAACCAAAAACAGCAAAUAGGCUGCCUACAAGUUUUGACAAUAUUAGGAUAAUGAUAAUGACAGUUUUUCUAAAUCUCACAGUAAAGAAUGCAGCAACCCAGCAACACUGCUACCUGUGGCCUCAGGCUGCAGUGUCAGCUCUUCCCUGGGUCUCCAGCCUGCCAGUCUAACCUGAAAAUUAUGUACUUGCCAGCCCCCACAGUCACGUGAGUGAACUGGCCCAGGCUGGUCACCAGGGUCAGUUUCUCUGUGUGUCAUUAAUUCAUUCAGUCUUCAGCAGUCUCUUUGGAGCUGAGAUGUACCUACCAUCUGCCUUUUGGGUGCUUAGGGUGGAGAACCAGAAAAGUAUAACCUAGUGUGUAUCCUCAAAGAGCUAACAAUAUGGGGUGGUACCUAUAGGUCUGGAAACACUUUACUGACUCUGUGAGGCAUACCAGGAGACGUCAGAGAACAGUCCCUCCUCAAAUGCCAAAUGAGAUGCAGAAGAAAUAGUUUGCUCAAGUUCAUGGGCCAGAUAUCCCAGUGGUCAGGGAGUUUCAUGAAUGAGAUGGAACUUUGCAUGGAACCCGAGGGAUGUGUAUGAUUUGAGUAGAUGAAGAAAAUGAGACUUUCCAAGCAGCUAGAAGUUAGGGAGCAGCAAGAUGUGUGGUGGGAUUGAGCACAGUUGGUUCAGAGGAUAGACUGCAGUUUUAAUAAUUUGUAGUAAAUAUCUCCCAACUGUUUGGCACUAUUGGAGCAAGUUCUUGAAUGCCAAAUGAAGGCAUAAAUCAGUAAGAGGCAUAAUAAAAGGCUGAGCAGUGCUUGGCUUUUUACGAACUGAUCCUGAUAGGAGCAGCUGUUCAACAAAGUUGCCAGGUCACCGUUACAUAGUCCCUGCCUUCUAGGGGCUCACUGCCUACUGGGAGAGACAGUCUGAAAGUUGGUGGAGCAUGUAACUGUUGGAUGAGGACUUUGAGCCUGUGGACUGUGGGACCCCCGAGGAGGGUGUGGCUACUCUAGGCAGAACAAUCCCACAGUUUAUUUAUAUUUAACCUUGAAAUUCAUUAGAGGAUUUUUCAGCAGAGGUUUGGUACUUGUUAAUGUUAAGGUUUGCAUUCUCUAGAACCUCAAGGAAAGCUGUACCGUGCAUAAUGUACCCUCUUAUGUUAAUGUUGUGUACUGUGAUCCUGUUUCAGGGACUUGCACUUAGGAAUCUGUUACAGUGAGCACAGAAGCAGACCUGUGGGCUCAUAGUCUUCACCCCCCACCCAUAUAUACAAGAUGAACAGAGUGGAGGUUAAACAACUUGACUAAACAACACAGUUCAUGGUAAAGCCCAAGACUGUACCUGCCCAUCCACUGCCUUUUCCAUGUAUCCUGGAACUGAGCAUAGACCUCUUCCCAGGCAGAGCUGACAGCAAGUAAAGGAGAUCAUAAUCAGGGGACCAAACAACUUUGUCUAAAGUGUGAAUGUCACCUAAGGAGAAGCUGUGAGAUCAGAAGGGUGGGGCAGAGGAGCAGACACCAUGAGGGAGAGUCCUUGGGGGUACAUCUGCCAGACUGACACUGUCUGGCCUGGGCAGUGGAGGGGCUAGCAGGAACCACAGGUACUGGUGGUGUGGCUACUACCGUUACAACUGCCUGUGCUUGGACAUGGACCCUCUGCAAUAUGCGGCAGUUUCAUUCAUUGCCCCCUACAUUCUACACCAAGUAGAAAUGGAAGGCAAUUGGAUACUUCACAGACAAGAUCUAAGUGGAGAAGGAAUGCGUCCUGUGGCUGCAGAGAUCCUUGGAGCUUGGAGGGGAGAGCUUGAGCCCCACUGAUGAUGACCUCCCACAGCUCGCCAACUCAGCCCUCCCUAAGUCCCCAUCGGGGGCCAAUUCUCACUCUGGGGUUGGGGGGACUCCACCAUAGCUCAUCCAUCAUAGGGAUGUUGGUAUCUACUGUGGGUUGGGUAGGGCCGAUGUGCUGAGGAUGGCUCCCCCACAAGCAAGAGAUGUGGAUUUGGGGAGCUUCCCAUCUUGUGUUGAAGGAACAUAACUCAGAAUAAUAAGAGCCAACUAUAACAAACCCACAGCCAACAUCAUACUGAAUGGGCAAAAGCUGCAGGCAUUCCCCUUGAAAAGUGGCACAGGAUAAGGAAGCCCUUUCUCACCACUCCUAUUCAAUAUAGUGUUGAAAGUCCUGAUCACAGCAGUCAGGCAACAGAAAUAAUAAAGGGCAUCCAAAUAGGAAGAGAGGAAGUCAAACUAUCCUUGUUUGCAGACAGUAUGAUUCUAUAUCUAGAAAACCCCAUAGCCUCAGCCCAAAAGGUCCUUCAUCUGAUAAUUUCAGCAAAGUUUCAGGAGACAAAAUCAGUGUACAAAAAUCACUAACAUUCCUAUACACAGUCGCCAAGCCAAGAGCCAAAUCAGGAGCACAAUCCCAUUCAUAAUUGCCACAAAAAAGAAUAAAAUACCCAGGAAUGCAGCUAACCAAGGAAGUAAAGGAUCUCUACAAUGAGAAUCACAAACGCUGCUCAAAGAAAUCAGAGAUGACACAAACAAAUGGAAAAACUUUCCAUGCUCAUGGCUAGGAAGAAUCAAUAUCAUUAAAGUGGCCAUACUACCCAAAGCAAUUUAUAGAUUCAAUGCUAUUCCUAUCAAACUAUCAAUUACAUUUUUCACAGAACUAGAAAAAACUUAAAAUUCAUAUGGAACCAAAAAGCCUGAGUAGUCAAGGCAAUCCUAAACAAAAAGAACAAAGGUGGAGGCAUCACAUUACCUAACUUCAAACUACAGGGCUACCAUGACCAAAACAGCAUGGUACUGGUACAAAAGCAGACACACAGACCAGUGGGACAGAAUAGAGAGCCCAAAAAUAAGGCCACAAACCUACAGCCAUCUGAUCUUCAACAAAGUUGACAAAAACAAGCAAUGGGGAAAGGUCUCCCUAUUCAAUAAAUGGUGCUGGGAUAACUGGCUGGCCAUAUGCAGAAGAUCGUAACUGGACCCCUUUUACUAUGUACAAAAAUUAAGAUGGUUUAAAGAGUUAAAACCCAAAAUUAUAAAAAUCCUGAAGAUAACUUAGGCAAUACCAUUCUGGACAUAGGAACUGGCAAAUAUUUCAUGAUGAAGACACCAAAAGCAAUUGUAACAAAAGCAAAAAUGGACAAAUUGGAUUUAAGAGCUUUUUCAUAGCAAAAUAAACAACAGGGCAGACAAUCUACCAAAUGACAGAAAAUUUUUGCAAACUAUGCAUCUGACAAGGGGCUAAUAUCUAGCAUCUAUAAGGAAUUUAAACACAGUUACAGG